GAAAUAACCACAUGAAAAAAAAAACAGUUAAUAAAAAAAAAAAAGUCAGUUUCUUUCUCCUUCAUUUUCCCAUCAUUUGGCCGCCUCUAUCGACUUUUCUGUGGUCUUUUAACUUCAUAGAGCGAAUAUGAGAAUAAGAAUGAAAGAAUGAGAGG
Molecule: non-coding RNA, 155 nt
Filed under: Chloropicon laureae
Lineage: Eukaryota; Viridiplantae; Chlorophyta; Chloropicophyceae; Chloropicales; Chloropicaceae
Source: RNAcentral